RNAcentral lists this long non-coding RNA (548 nucleotides) under Malus domestica (apple). RNAcentral describes it as "long non-coding RNA (MDOM_LNC004308)". The record is from RNAcentral. Lineage: Eukaryota; Viridiplantae; Streptophyta; Magnoliopsida; Rosales; Rosaceae.
ACAAACAUAUACAUGCUCCAUAUAUCACUUGAAUAUCUAAUAAGUAUGUGCUCACAAUCAUGCUCACUUGACAUGCUAAUAACUUGGAACAAAUUAAGAGCUUGUUGACUAGGAUAACUAUUGGUAACUGAAAUUUGUCAAUUAAUCUUUGAUUUAUUGACUAACAUAUCUAUCUUAGUCGACUAGUGGGCUUGACUAGUUAGUCCAACUAAUUAUUAUUUUUAUAUACAGAAUAUUCGGCCUAAUACCAAUUUCAAAGAGAGAGGUAAGGAUAGAGAGUCGACAGAGAGAGGGAAAUCAGAAAAUGGGAGAAAAUAACACAAUUAUAUACGAGGGCAAUAAAGUCAUUUUAAGAUGUAGGAAAUUCUUAUUUUUGUUCGAUUGUUGUGCAUGUCGUGUGCAUAUUUUAAAUGUCCUAUUUAUGUCUCAAGAUUAAGAAAUUGUCCUAUUUCUAGGUUUUUGCCAAGAAAAAUAGAAUUAUCAUGGGCAUUAAAGAUAUUUCGCACCAAAAAAAUUGUAUAUUACCCUAACCCCCAUGUGAUCAAAAU